This 468-nucleotide ribosomal RNA is filed under the name uncultured bacterium. RNAcentral's name for it is "partial 16S ribosomal RNA". It matches the Rfam family "Bacterial small subunit ribosomal RNA", at positions 28 to 507 of the family's 1533-position model. The record is from RNAcentral.
GAUGAACGCUGGCGGCGUGCUUAAUACAUGCAAGUCGAACGGAAAGGCCCUGCUUUUGUGGGGUGCUCGAGUGGCGAACGGGUGAGUAACACGUGAGUAACCUGCCCUUGACUUUGGGAUAACUUCAGGAAACUGGGGCUAAUACCGGAUAGGAGCUCCUGCUGCAUGGUGGGGGAUGGAAAGUUUCGGCGGUUGGGGAUGGACUCGCGGCUUAUCAGCUGGUUGGGGGGGUAGUGGCUUACCAAGGCUUUGACGGGUAGCCGGCCUGAGAGGGUGACCGGCCACAUUGGGACUGAGAUACGGCCCAGACGCCUACGGGAGGCAGCAGGGGGGAAUAUUGCACAAUGGGCGGAAGCCUGAGGCAGCAACGCCGCGUGCGUGAUGACGGCCUUCGGGUUGUAAACCGCUUUCGCCUGUGACGAAGCGUGAUUGACGGUAAUGGGUAAAGAAGCACCGGCUAACUACGUG